This 440-nucleotide ribosomal RNA is filed under the name uncultured bacterium. RNAcentral describes it as "partial 16S ribosomal RNA". It matches the Rfam family "Bacterial small subunit ribosomal RNA", at positions 338 to 795 of the family's 1533-position model. The record is from RNAcentral.
CCUACGGGAGGCAGCAGUGGGGGAUAUUGCACAAUGGGGGGAACCCUGAUGCAGCGACGCCGCGUGGGUGAAGAAGCGCCUCGGCGCGUAAAGCUCUGUCAGCAGGGAAGAAAAUGACGGUACCUGAAGAAGAAUCCCUGGCGAACGACGUCCCAGCAGCCGCCGUAUUACGCAGGGGGCACGCGUUAUCCGGUUUUACUGGGUGUAAAGGGGGCGCAGACUGCAUUGCAAGCCAGGGGUGAAAGCCCGGGGCCCAACCCCGGGAGUGCUCUUGAAACUGGGUGGCUGGAGUGCAGGAGAGGCAGGCGGAAUUCCAGGUGUAGCGGUGAAAUGCGUAGAUAUCAGGAGGAACACCAGUGGCGAAGGCGACCAGCUGGAAUGCAACUGACGUUGAGGAGCGAAAGCGUGGGGAGCAAACAGGAUUAGAUACCCGGGUAGUC